Molecule: ribosomal RNA, 377 nt
Filed under: uncultured bacterium
Lineage: Bacteria
Description: bacterial SSU rRNA
Rfam family: Bacterial small subunit ribosomal RNA
Source: RNAcentral
UAAUACAGAGGUCUCAAGCGUUAAUCGGAAUCACUGGGCUUAAAGGGUGCGUAGGCGGACCGGAACGCGUCCCGUGAAAUCCCCCGGCUCAACCGGGGAACUGCGGGGCGAACGGACGGUCUUGAGGCAUAUAUGGGCGGGCGGAACUGUAGGUGGAGCGGUGAAAUGCGUAGAUAUCUACAGGAACGCCGAUGGUGAAGACGGCCCGCUGGAUAUGUCCUGACGCUGAGGCACGAAAGCGUGGGGAGCAAACAGGAUUAGAUACCCUGGUAGUCCACGCCGUAAACGAUGCGCACUAGAUCGGUGCCGCUCUGACGCGGUAUCGGUCGUCGUAAAAACACUAAGUGCGCCGCCUGGGGAGUACGGUCGCAAGGCUA